CUCCCCCCGCCCCAAGGAAUCCUUUGUGGACAUGCUGGCAAGGAAGCUCCCGCAAUGAGAGCUGCUUUGGAAGAUCAUUUGGCCAGGGUCCCUGCGCUGCCACCAAUCUAGCGCACCAAGCGAGGAAUUCCAGAGACAAGGGAUGUUCGUCGUUUUCAGAGGCUACAGCACCUGCCCGCGGGAUCGGAGCCUAUCUGGCUACACAGAGCCAUGCCCCACGCAGAGGAAGCCGCCCCCCCCACAUAUCACCACCCGGGAAGGGCAGACUGAGAACCAGUCAUGGCCCUAGGGGAUGGAUCCCUUCAGCACCAGAGCUUUACAAGCCAGGAUUCUCUUUUCUACAGAAGAGAGGAAAACCAGGACUCAACUGCAGCGGAGUUGCCCAGAUGCAAAUAAAUGGCCCGACACGUCCACAUCCCUUAGAUCGACCAACCCCCUUCUUUCUCAAAAGGUCC
Molecule: long non-coding RNA, 455 nt
Organism: Chelonia mydas (Green sea turtle)
Lineage: Eukaryota; Metazoa; Chordata; Testudines; Cheloniidae
Exons: 3
Source: RefSeq, a predicted model, not a curated record